Molecule: transfer RNA, 83 nt
Filed under: Chloroflexi bacterium 54-19
Lineage: Bacteria; Bacillati; Chloroflexota; Chloroflexia; Candidatus Chloroheliales
Also listed under: 1 other name
Description: tRNA-Tyr
Rfam family: tRNA
About the family: Transfer RNA (tRNA) molecules are approximately 80 nucleotides in length. Their secondary structure includes four short double-helical elements and three loops (D, anti-codon, and T loops).
Source: RNAcentral
GGAUGUGUGGCAGAGCGGCAAAUGCACCUGAUUGUAAAUCAGAGGAGUUGUACUCUACGUAGGUUCGAGUCCUACCGCAUCCA